Molecule: unclassified non-coding RNA, 341 nt
Filed under: plant metagenome
Description: partial contains small subunit ribosomal RNA, internal transcribed spacer 1, and 5.8S ribosomal RNA
Source: RNAcentral
UUUCCGUAGGUGAACCUGCGGAAGGAUCAUUAUCGAAAAGCAAUCCGGGUGGGAGGCCACCGAGCGAAGUUUGGUAGAUCGUAGGGAUUGUCGCUGGCCUUUGGAAACGAAGGCAUGUGCACGUUCCGAGUUCUCCUUAGUCCUCCUUUGCCUUUCCUUUGGAAGACCCUUUCUUCACACCCGUGCACACAUUGUAGGUCUCCGCGAGGGGAUCUAUGUCUUCACAAAACUCUACGUAUGUCCAGGGAUGUAUCUAAAGCGUCGAACGGCUCGGCUCCAUGACCGGUCGCCGACGGUAAAGAACCAUAAUACAACUUUCAGCAACGGAUCUCUUGGCUCUC